This is a non-coding RNA of Ameiurus melas (black bullhead), 79 nucleotides long. The record is from the annotation of a GenBank genome assembly. NCBI's taxonomy places the organism in Eukaryota, Metazoa, Chordata, Actinopteri, Siluriformes, Ictaluridae.
GCGCACGGUGGCUUAGUGGUUAGCACGUUCGCCUCACACCUCCAGGGUCAGAUCCAGGGGUUCGAUUCCCGCCGGGGCC